RNAcentral lists this ribosomal RNA (253 nucleotides) under uncultured bacterium. Its description in RNAcentral is "partial 16S ribosomal RNA". It matches the Rfam family "Bacterial small subunit ribosomal RNA", at positions 524 to 776 of the family's 1533-position model. The record is from RNAcentral.
UACGGAGGGGGCAAGCGUUGUUCGGAAUUACUGGGCGUAAAGGGUUCGUAGGUGGCUCACUAAGUCACACGUGAAAUCCCUCAGCUUAACUGGGGAACUGCGUGUGAAACUGGAGAGCUUGAGGGUAGGAGAGGAAUGCGGAAUUCCAGGUGUAGCGGUGAAAUGCGUAGAUAUCUGGAGGAACACCGGUGGCGAAGGCGGCAUUCUGGACUAUUUCUGACACUGAUGAACGAAAGCCAGGGGAGCAAACGGG